This 792-nucleotide ribosomal RNA is filed under the name uncultured bacterium. Its description in RNAcentral is "bacterial SSU rRNA". It matches the Rfam family "Bacterial small subunit ribosomal RNA", at positions 92 to 870 of the family's 1533-position model. The record is from RNAcentral.
UGAGUGGCGAACUGGUGAGUAACACGUGGGAAACCUGCCCAGAAGCGGGGGAUAACACCUGGAAACAGAUGCUAAUACCGCAUAACAACUUGGACCGCAUGGUCCGAGCUUGAAAGAUGGCUUCGGCUAUCACUUUUGGAUGGUCCCGCGGCGUAUUAGCUAGAUGGUGGGGUAACGGCUCACCAUGGCAAUGAUACGUAGCCGACCUGAGAGGGUAAUCGGCCACAUUGGGACUGAGACACGGCCCAAACUCCUACGGGAGGCAGCAGUAGGGAAUCUUCCACAAUGGACGAAAGUCUGAUGGAGCAACGCCGCGUGAGUGAAGAAGGGUUUCGGCUCGUAAAACUCUGUUGUUAAAGAAGAACAUAUCUGAGAGUAACUGUUCAGGUAUUGACGGUAUUUAACCAGAAAGCCACGGCUAACUACGUGCCAGCAGCCGCGGUAAUACGUAGGUGGCAAGCGUUGUCCGGAUUUAUUGGGCGUAAAGCGAGCGCAGGCGGUUUUUUAAGUCUGAUGUGAAAGCCUUCGGCUCAACCGAAGAAGUGCAUCGGAAACUGGGAAACUUGAGUGCAGAAGAGGACAGUGGAACUCCAUGUGUAGCGGUGAAAUGCGUAGAUAUAUGGAAGAACACCAGUGGCGAAGGCGGCUGUCUGGUCUGUAACUGACGCUGAGGCUCGAAAGUAUGGGUAGCAAACAGGAUUAGAUACCCUGGUAGUCCAUACCGUAAACGAUGAAUGCUAAGUGUUGGAGGGUUUCCGCCCUUCAUGCUGCAGCUAACGCAUUAAGCAUUCC